Molecule: long non-coding RNA, 531 nt
Organism: Tripterygium wilfordii
Lineage: Eukaryota; Viridiplantae; Streptophyta; Magnoliopsida; Celastrales; Celastraceae
Exons: 2
Source: RefSeq, a predicted model, not a curated record
AAACCGAGAGAAGAAAGAAGAGUCCAGAAAAAACAAGAAGGAAAGAGAGAAGAAUUUAGAGGGGCUAGCAGAGGACGUGAGACAGGGAGGGUGGUGUGCCGACCUCUUUGAUCUCUUCAUAGCUGCCAUGGUUUGUACUGGGAGGAUUUGUGAGUUGUGUUUACAAGGUUAAGGUUCAUUACAUGAUCGUACGAGUCAAAUUGGGAGUUAGGAAGAGAUGGCCUGUAUUGCUCUUGAGCAUGUACAUGGAAGCUUUGAUGGACAGAGCUUAAAGUUGAAUUCGAAGGUUCAUUUGCCUCGAGUGACCAGUUGGUCGGUGGUUUCUACGAUUACGCGAGGGACGUGGAAGUAAUAGCAUGAUAGCUGAUUAUCCGGUGAGUGAAUAGAAAACUUAUUCGAUACUUACAACAUUGCACAUGCUUUCUACGAGAUGUCAGCUUGGUACUAUUGUGAUCUUUGUAUAUUCAUUGUCAUUACCGUUCAUUUGACUUAUGAUGAUGCCAUUGGUUCAUAUAUUUUCUUCUGGGACAA